AUACUCUGGUUUCUCUUCAGAACGCAUAAAUCUUUCGCCUUUUACUAAAGAUUUCCGUGGAGAGAAACAAUUAAAAAAAAAAUGAAACUCCUGAUGUUAAUGAAACUUUUCUUCAGUU
Small nuclear RNA from Orcinus orca (killer whale), 118 nucleotides. RefSeq annotates it as U5 spliceosomal RNA. The record is from RefSeq and is a predicted model, not a curated record. NCBI's taxonomy places the organism in Eukaryota, Metazoa, Chordata, Mammalia, Artiodactyla, Delphinidae. The transcript has a single exon.